AGGAUGAACGCUGGCGGCGUGCCUAACACAUGCAAGUCGAACGGAUGCCUUCGGGCAUUAGUGGCGCACGGGUGAGUAACACGUGGUUGAUCUACCCCAAAGUAGGGGAUAACGUUCCGAAAGGAAUGCUAAUACCCUAUAAGCUCCCGGACUUUAGAACCCUGGGAGAAAAAGUUCCGGCGCUUUGGGAGGAGACUGCGGGCCAUCAGCUAGUUGGUGAGGUAACGGCUCACCAAGGCGACGACGGC
Molecule: ribosomal RNA, 248 nt
Filed under: uncultured bacterium
Lineage: Bacteria
Description: partial small subunit ribosomal RNA
Rfam family: Bacterial small subunit ribosomal RNA
Source: RNAcentral